GAUGAACGCUGGCGGCGUGCCUAAUACAUGCAAGUCGAGCGAACAGACGAGGAGCUUGCUCCUCUGACGUUAGCGGCGGACGGGUGAGUAACACGUGGAUAACCUACCUAUAAGACUGGGAUAACCUCGGGAAACCGGAGCUAAUACCGGAUAAUAUAUUGAACCGCAUGGUUCAAUAGUGAAAGACGGUUUUGAUGUUACUUAUAGAUGGAUCCGCGCCGCAUUAGCUAGUUGGUAAGGUACCGGCUUACCAAGGCAACGAUGCCUAGCCGACCUGAGAGGGUGAACGACCCCAAUGGGACUGAAACCCGGACCAAGCUCCUGCGGGAGGCAGCAGUAGGUAAUCUUCCACAGUGGGCGCAGACCUAUCGGAACGACGCCACGUGAGUGAUAGAGAUGCUCGGAUCGUAAGACGGUGUUAUUCGGGAAGAACAUAUGUGUAAGUAACUAUACACGUCUUGACAGUACCUGAUCAAAAAGCCACGGCUAACUACGUG
This 497-nucleotide ribosomal RNA is filed under the name uncultured bacterium. RNAcentral's name for it is "partial 16S ribosomal RNA". It matches the Rfam family "Bacterial small subunit ribosomal RNA", at positions 28 to 507 of the family's 1533-position model. The record is from RNAcentral.